UUUCUUGGAUGGUGGGAAGAUGUAGGCGCUCACGUUGUCACUUCACGUUCACUCGGAGUCUUCAGUGCUAAGACAGUCACCAGGAAAUGCUUCCAAAAGAUAUGGUCUUCAGAAUUUUCUUCCUGUGUCAAACUGGCAUUGGGAUUCUGGGGAACUCCCUGGUGCUCUCGUGUCUACAUAGUUAUUCUCUUGUGCAGGCACCAGAAAAAAUUAUAGGGAAUGCUCAAGAGCAAGCAUAUCCAGAAAUGAUCUCCAGAAACAAGAGCCAUACAAGCUAUCCUUUGCC
This is a long non-coding RNA of Choloepus didactylus (southern two-toed sloth), 286 nucleotides long. RefSeq lists it as uncharacterized. The record is from RefSeq and is a predicted model, not a curated record. The transcript is spliced from 3 exons. NCBI's taxonomy places the organism in Eukaryota, Metazoa, Chordata, Mammalia, Pilosa, Megalonychidae.